GCUAACUCUGUGCCAGCAGCCGCGGUAAUACAGAGGGUGCAAGCGUUAAUCGGAAUUACUGGGCGUAAAGCGAGCGUAGGUGGCUUGAUAAGUCAGAUGUGAAAUCCCCGGGCUUAACCUGGGAACUGCAUCUGAUACUGUUAGGCUAGAGUAGGUGAGAGGAAGGUAGAAUUCCAGGUGUAGCGGUGAAAUGCGUAGAGAUCUGGAGGAAUACCGAUGGCGAAGGCAGCCUUCUGGCAUCAUACUGACACUGAGGCUCGAAAGCGUGGGUAGCAAACAGGAUUAGAUACCCUGGUAGUCCACGCCGUAAACGAUGUCUACUAGUCGUUGGGUCCCUUGAGGACUUAGUGACGCAGCUAACGCAAUAAGUAGACCGCCUGGGGAGUACGGCCGCAAGGUUAAAACUCACAAUGAAUUGACGGGGGCCCGCACAAGCGGUGGAGCAUGUGGUUUAAUUCGAUGCAACGCGAAGAACCUUACCUGUCUUGACAU
This 492-nucleotide ribosomal RNA is filed under the name Psychrobacter sp. Nj-79. RNAcentral's name for it is "bacterial SSU rRNA". It matches the Rfam family "Bacterial small subunit ribosomal RNA", at positions 496 to 987 of the family's 1533-position model. Lineage: Bacteria; Pseudomonadati; Pseudomonadota; Gammaproteobacteria; Moraxellales; Moraxellaceae. The record is from RNAcentral.